This 524-nucleotide ribosomal RNA is filed under the name uncultured bacterium. Its description in RNAcentral is "bacterial SSU rRNA". It matches the Rfam family "Bacterial small subunit ribosomal RNA", at positions 791 to 1316 of the family's 1533-position model. The record is from RNAcentral.
UAGUCCACGCUGUAAACUAUGAUAACUCGUUGUUGGCAAUACAUCGUCAGCGACUGAGCGAAAGCGUUAAGUUAUCCACCUGGGGAGUACGAUCGCAAGGUUGAAACUCAAAGGAAUUGACGGGGGCCCGCACAAGCGGAGGAACAUGUGGUUUAAUUCGAUGCUACGCGAGGAACCUUACCUGGGCUUAAAUGCAAAACGACAUUUCGGGAAACUGAAAGUCCCUUCGGGGCGUAUUGCAAGGUGCUGCAUGGUUGUCGUCAGCUCGUGCCGUGAGGUAUCGGGUUAAGUCCCAUAACGAGCGCAACCCCUAUUGUUAGUUGCCAGCGGGUAAUGCCGGGAACUCUAACGAAACUGCCUGUGUAAGCAGGAGAAGGUGGGGAUGACGUCAAAUCAGCACGGCCCUUAUGUCCAGGGGCUACACACGUGUUACAAUGGCAGGGUACAAAGGGGCAGCUACCACGCGAGUGGAUGCUAAUCUCUAAAACCUGUCCCAGUUCGGGAUCGGGAGUCUGCAAUUCGAC